This 253-nucleotide ribosomal RNA is filed under the name uncultured bacterium. Its description in RNAcentral is "partial 16S ribosomal RNA". It matches the Rfam family "Bacterial small subunit ribosomal RNA", at positions 524 to 776 of the family's 1533-position model. The record is from RNAcentral.
UACGGAGGGUGCGAGCGUCGUCCGGAAUUACUGGGCGUAAAGCGUGCGCAGGCGGUUGUGUAAGUCUGGCGUGAAAUCCCCGGGCUCAACCUGGGAAUUGCGAUGGAGACUGCACGGCUAGAGUGUGUCAGAGGGGGGUAGAAUUCCACGUGUAGCAGUGAAAUGCGUAGAUAUGUGGAGGAACACCGAUGGCGAAGGCAGCCCCCUGGGAUAACACUGACGCUCAUGCACGAAAGCGUGGGGAGCAAACAGG